RNAcentral lists this long non-coding RNA (274 nucleotides) under Sorghum bicolor (sorghum). RNAcentral's name for it is "long non-coding RNA (SBIC_LNC018568)". Lineage: Eukaryota; Viridiplantae; Streptophyta; Magnoliopsida; Poales; Poaceae. The record is from RNAcentral.
CGCCACUCUCUUCUCGGUGGUCGGGACGGGGCGGGCCUGGUCCUCCUCACUGCUGGUGUAACGAGUACACCGAGCAGCGUCUUCUUCCGGCGGAUCUUCCCCCGCAGGAUUCUCCAUCCCAGGUGCCAGUGACACAUACACUGCGCACCGGUCAACAUCUCCGAUCUGCAAAAGUAACAAAGACAAGUCGGCAGCAGACAAUAACAAAUGCUAAGGCAAAAUAAUCAGUAAGAUACCUUAGGUGCUGGUCGCCCCAACUUGAAGGCUUGCACCC